UACGAAGGGGGCUAGCGUUGCUCGGAAUCACUGGGCGUAAAGCGCACGUAGGCGGAUCUUUAAGUCAGGGGUGAAAUCCCAAGGCUCAACCUUGGAACUGCCUUUGAUACUGGGGAUCUCGAGUCCGGAAGAGGUUGGUGGAACUGCGAGCGUAGAGGUGAAAUUCGUAGAUAUUCGCAAGAACACCAGUGGCGAAGGCGGCUAUCUGGACGGUAACUGACGCUGAGACGCGAAAGCGUGGGGAGCAAACAGG
Molecule: ribosomal RNA, 253 nt
Filed under: uncultured bacterium
Lineage: Bacteria
Description: partial 16S ribosomal RNA
Rfam family: Bacterial small subunit ribosomal RNA
Source: RNAcentral